GGGGUUGUAGCUCAGAUGGGAGAGCGGUGCGUUCGCAACGCACAGGUCAAGGGUUCGAGUCCCUCCAGCUCCACCA
RNAcentral lists this transfer RNA (76 nucleotides) under Clostridiales bacterium. Its description in RNAcentral is "tRNA-Ala". It matches the Rfam family "tRNA". From Rfam's summary of the family: Transfer RNA (tRNA) molecules are approximately 80 nucleotides in length. Their secondary structure includes four short double-helical elements and three loops (D, anti-codon, and T loops). Lineage: Bacteria; Bacillati; Bacillota; Clostridia; Eubacteriales. The record is from RNAcentral. RNAcentral also lists the same sequence under 1 other name.